CACAUGCAAGUCGAGGGGCAGCAUGAACUUAGCUUGCUAAGUUUGAUGGCGACCGGCGCACGGGUGAGUAACACGUAUCCAACCUUCCGUUUACUCAGGGAUAGCCUUUCGAAAGAAAGAUUAAUACCUGAUAGUAUGGUGAGAUUGCAUGAUAGCACCAUUAAAGAUUUAUUGGUAAACGAUGGGGAUGCGUUCCAUUAGGUAGUAGGCGGGGUAACGGCCCACCUAGCCGACGAUGGAUAGGGGUUCUGAGAGGAAGGUCCCCCACAUUGGAACUGAGACACGGUCCAAACUCCUACGGGAGGCAGCAGUGAGGAAUAUUGGUCAAUGGGCGAGAGCCUGAACCAGCCAAGUAGCGUGAAGGAUGAAGGUCCUACGGAUUGUAAACUUCUUUUAUACGGGAAUAAAGUAUCCUACGUGUAGGAUUUUGUAUGUACCGUAUGAAUAAGCAUCGGCUAACUCCGUGCCAGCAGCCGCGGUAAUACGGAGGAUGCGAGCGUUAUCCGGAUUUAUUGGGUUUAAAGGGAGCGCAGACGGGAGAUUAAGUCAGUUGUGAAAGUUUGCGGCUCAACCGUAAAAUUGCAGUUGAUACUGGUUUCCUUGAGUGCAGUUGAGGCAGGCGGAAUUCGUGGUGUAGCGGUGAA
This 644-nucleotide ribosomal RNA is filed under the name uncultured bacterium. RNAcentral describes it as "bacterial SSU rRNA". It matches the Rfam family "Bacterial small subunit ribosomal RNA", at positions 52 to 685 of the family's 1533-position model. The record is from RNAcentral.